AGAGAGAGACAUGCGCGCAUAUCAAUAAGCGGAGGAAAAGAAACUAACAAGGAUUCCCCUAGUAACGGCGAGUGAAGCGGGAAGAGCUCAAAUUUGAAAUCUUAAAGGGUUUCCCUUUACGAAUUGUAGUUUAAAGAAGUGUUUUCUGUUGAGGUUUUGGUAAAAGUUCUUUGGAAUAGGACAUCAUAGAGGGCUGAGAAUCCCGUAUUUGACCUUUACUUUCAACUUUGUGAUACACCUUCAAAGAGUCGGAUUGUUUGGGAAUGCAGUCCAAAAUGGGUGGUAAAUUUCAUCUAAAGCUAAAUAUUGGCGAGAGACCGAUAGCGAACAAGUACCGUGAGGGAAAGAUGAAAAGAACUUUGAAAAGAGAGUUAAACAGUACGUGAAAUUGUCAAAAGGGAAGCGUUUGACACCAGUGUUGUUUUUCUGAAAAUCAAUUAAAGAACUGUUUAUGCUAAGUUGUUUAGACUUUAUCAGCUAACUGUUUAGUUUUGAGCUUUUCUUUAAUGCACUUUUCAGUUAACAAGUCAACAUCAAUUUCUUUUGCUGUAAAAAAGCUUGAGGAAGGUGGCUUGAGAUUCGUCUUAAGUGUUUAUAGCCUCUUGCCUAUGCAGUCGGAGAGAUUGAGGUCUGCAGCGUAGAUCCUUCGGGGCUAAAUGCAUUUGUGCUAAGUUAUAGCACUUUAUAGACAACUUGUUGACUAUGAUCUGUCAUGUAGCUUACUCGCUUAUGCUAUUUUACCUACGCUUAGGAUGUUGAGCGCAUGUCUCUCUCU
RNAcentral lists this ribosomal RNA (775 nucleotides) under uncultured Neocallimastigales. RNAcentral describes it as "partial large subunit ribosomal RNA". It matches the Rfam family "Eukaryotic large subunit ribosomal RNA", at positions 23 to 616 of the family's 3401-position model. The record is from RNAcentral. Lineage: Eukaryota; Fungi; Neocallimastigomycota; Neocallimastigomycetes; Neocallimastigales.